GAUUAACGCUGGCGGCAUGCCUAAUACAUGCAAGUCGAACGGAAGCAGCAAUGCUUUAGUGGCGAACGGGUGAGUAACACGUAGGGAACCUACCUAUACGACGAGGAUAACUACUGGAAACGGUAGCUAAAACUGGAUAGGAUCAAUUGAGGCAUCUUGAUUGAUUUAAAGAUCCUUCGGGAUUACGUAGAGAUGGCCUCGCGUCUGAUUAGCUAGUUGGUGGGGUAACGGCCCACCAAGGCGACGAUCAGUAGCCGGACUGAGAGGUUGACCGGCCACAUUGGGACUGAGAUACGGCCCAGACUCCUACGGGAGGCAGCAGUGGGGAAUAUUGGGCAAUGGGCGAAAGCCUGACCCAGCAACGCCGCGUGAAGGAAGAAGGCCCUCGGGUUGUAAACUUCUUUUAUUCGGGACGAAACAAAUGACGGUACCGAAUGAAUAAGCCACGGCUAACUACGUG
This 460-nucleotide ribosomal RNA is filed under the name uncultured bacterium. RNAcentral describes it as "bacterial SSU rRNA". It matches the Rfam family "Bacterial small subunit ribosomal RNA", at positions 28 to 507 of the family's 1533-position model. The record is from RNAcentral.